AUGCACGCUGGCGGCGUGCCUCAUCCCUGCAAGUCGCGCGCACGGACGAGAAGCUUGCUUUUCUGAUGUUAGCGGCGGACGGGUGAGUAACACGUGGAUAACCUACCUAUAAGACUGGGAUAACUUCGGGAAACCGGAGCUAAUACCGGAUAAUAUUUUGAACCGCCUGGUUCAAAAGUGAAAGACGGUCUUGCUGUCACUUAUAGAUGGAUCCGCGCUGCAUUAGCUAGUUGGUAAGGUAACGGCUUACCAAGGCAACGAUGCAUAGCCGACCUGAGAGGGUGAUCGGCCACACUGGAACUGAGACACGGUCCAGAGUCCUACGGGAGGCAGCAGUAGGGAAUCUUCCGCAAUGGGCGAAAGCCUGACGGAGCAACGCCGCGUGAGUGAUGAAGGUCUUCGGAUCGUAAAACUCUGUUAUUAGGGAAGAACAUAUGUGUAAGUAACUGUGCACAUCUUGACGGUACCUAAUCAGAAAGCCACGGCUAACUACGUG
RNAcentral lists this ribosomal RNA (496 nucleotides) under uncultured bacterium. RNAcentral describes it as "partial 16S ribosomal RNA". It matches the Rfam family "Bacterial small subunit ribosomal RNA", at positions 29 to 507 of the family's 1533-position model. The record is from RNAcentral.